AGCAGUCCCAAAAGACGCACUCAACCGCCCAAACUCUCUCUCUCUCCUUCUCUAUCCUCCUCCUGUUCUACCACUCUUCCUGUACGAGAAAACUCUCCUCAGAGGCUGACGGCAGGCUGAAAGCUCCCGGGGACUGUCAGAGUAUUUCAUUAUUCAAACAAUGCUGGAAAGUGGAGCCAAUGAUCACUUUAGUGGUGCUGAUUUGUCAUGGUGACUAGACGAGGGAGGGAGACUUCACCGCGCACAGUCUUUUCAGAUCCCAAAGAGGAAGAGAUGUCACUUACUGAAUUCGAGGGCAUCGGUACAUUGGUCUCAAUGUAAGUCUCCGUCUUGGGCUCCACAGCAAGCUCCGCCUCCAGGAUCUUCUCCACAGGCAUGUCUUCGUUCACACUGCUGGUCGACUCCACCUCAUUCUCGUUGCGGUCCUUGGCUCGCUGGCGCUCCUCCUGGACGGCUCGAAUCAGGCAUCGCGGUGGUGGAGGGGUUCCGAAACGGUGGGGGGAUUCUGCUUUAUGGAAAGUGCUGUCUGGAGGUCAGCCCAAGGGUAAAAUACUUCUCCAGGAGUCAGAGAGAGAUUCGCUCAGCUCUUUUUGGGACGAGCGUGGCCCAGCUCUCCUGUGCCUCGGGGUACAGCGCGAGCUUAUGGGAUACAGAAACAGGCGAACGCAAGCAAAUGAUCAUAUCUAUGAAGCAAGCCGUGAUGAUAUAAAUAAGGGAGACGAAAGGUUGCUUUAAGGUCAUAGACAGUGGGUGUGAGAGCGAAACGUCAUGUAUGUAUGAUCACAUUUCUCUCUCUUCAACAACAGGAGAAGGAUUUACUCUCUCACAUGAAACAAGAGCUAGAGAUCUGGGCAAGGGACUGGAUCUUGGCUUUGCGAUCUAUAGCCAUAAUAAAUAAUUUAUGAAGCCAAACUCGUCUGACUGCUUGCAAAGACACUGACCUGAGUUUUUAAAACUUGUUUGAAUGCUUAAGUUUUGGAGCCGUAUCAUGAAUGAACUGUAUUACAUACGAAAAGAUUUUAAAACUGAACAUGAGUUUAUACAUAUAUAAAGAAAAGUGAUGGAAAAUACAUUUAAAAAGCUAUAAACACGACAGGCAAUUUGAAACAAAUCAUUAUAAUUAUUAUUUAUAGAAUUAUUGUACAUUAUUGUACAAUGUUUUGCCCUUGUCGUUUAUCUCAGAACAAAUAAUUAGAUAUUUCUGAUAUUAAUACUGAAAUAGUUAAUAUUUGAUCUGUAUGUUUCCCUGAAUGUGAAUGCGGUUUAGUGGUUUUAGAACCCCCCCCAAAAAACACACGUUAGCAACAAUAAUGCAUGUAAACAUCUAUAUGGGCUAUAACAGGCAUGCGAUGAUAUAAAAGUUCAUCUGUAUAAUCUUUGAAACAGAAAACAAGUCCCUACAGACAAAAUGAUUGUAAAAACAACAUUGAAAAAUUCUGAUAUCUCAUAAAUACGAAAUUAUUCUCUCUGACUCAGGGGCAAAAAAGUCUCUCAGAUCAAUAUUCCACCAGCUGUGUGCUAAAAUCUUCUAUUAGCAUGCUUAAGCACUUUCACGUAUCCUUUUCUUGGAGACAAGUGUGUAAAAAGUGCUAAUGCCCCAUUUUCUUCAGUGUGACAACCCACCCCUUACCUCUUCCUCUCUUUCAUCUCUCUUUGCCUCAAGUGAUGAUUUGGGAAAAAAAAUACGGUCUUCUAUAUUUAGUAACAAAAAGCCUAUCCGAGGAAAAAAAACUCGUAUCAACGAACCAUUUUCUGUUUCUUACAAAUACACUACCUGGAAUCUUAAGGUGCAGUUGUUGCUCAACAUGUGCAAAAUAAACUCGUUGACCUUUGUCUCAUAGUGAGCUGAUCGGCAGACUGAACAUCUAGCGAGUGCUAAUUAAGCGCCGACUUGCAGUCUGUCUAUUUAAUGGCUGAUUGAAGCUACACGAAUGUUUCUUCCAGAGUCACACAAAGGUAAGAUUGUGUCUAACAGUGAGUACAAAAAAACCCCCAUCUCUCCUCACAAUGGAAAGCUCAGGUCAGUCAGUGCAAAGAAAGAUGGACUCCUUCAACCAAGUCCUUAAGUACUUCGGCUAAUACAAAUGGAUACUAAAGGUGUGUUUACAUAGCAUUGGAAGUGAUUUAUUUUAAUGAGAGCUGGUGGAGUGAACAGUGCUAUAAAAUUUCAGAAGAAAAAAGCUAACUCUUCUAUCCACUACUU
Molecule: long non-coding RNA, 2203 nt
Organism: Puntigrus tetrazona (Sumatra barb)
Lineage: Eukaryota; Metazoa; Chordata; Actinopteri; Cypriniformes; Cyprinidae
Exons: 4
Source: RefSeq, a predicted model, not a curated record